Molecule: long non-coding RNA, 1704 nt
Organism: Salarias fasciatus (jewelled blenny)
Lineage: Eukaryota; Metazoa; Chordata; Actinopteri; Blenniiformes; Blenniidae
Exons: 3
Source: RefSeq, a predicted model, not a curated record
CUUCCUCCUGGCAGUCGGUCACUCCUCAGUCCCACUCGUCCUUGCAUUCCCUCUCAUCUCCUCCAUCGUUUGGCGUCAUGUCUCCUGUUUCCACCGCUCUGAUGCUUUUCGUCCUCCUCUGGGUUUGAGACGGUGCUCGGUGCUCGUCGUCUCUGACGGGUUUCGAGCCUCCGCAGAUCGACGGUUCAGCCGUGGACGACAUCUGCCGGAUCUUCCUUGAAAACACUCCAGAACCUGGCGCCGCCUCCACCGCAGCACCGAACGCAGCCUCCCGUACUACGGCCAAGCAAACACGAACAUCAGCUGACACCAAGAAGCCUGCCGUCCAAUCCCAAGAGAGGAAACCAGAAUCCAACCUCUCCAAAGCACCAAUCAGGACUCAGCCGGCUGCAGGAGGCCCAAUCAGCAACCAGCACUCCAAUGACAUCCUCCGCCUCCUAUCCCGACUCCUGGCCAGUCGCAGAGGACACGCCUCCGCUGUUCAGCGGAAUCAUAACCACGUCAGGACCAACAGCAACAACCGCGAAACUUGGAAAGUCGUUUCGUCGUCUUCAGAGGACUCCAGUGACGAGUCUUAAAGACGACGGACAUUUUAGUCUGAACCCGCCUUAUUGAAAUCCUGAUCUCAACCAACUUCGAGGCUCGGAAUUCACCCCCCAAUGGGGGCGGGGUUUUCUAACUUUCUCACCUUCCCGCACUCAAACGUUAAUUGCAAACCUUCUGGAACUGAAGUUUCAGGACCCGGAGUGAUUACGACGGCGGCAGAGUGUUCUAGUUAAUCACGUGUCGAGUUGCAAAACAACAUGUCUGAAUUCUGGAAAAGUGGUCUUAGUUCGUUGCAAGUAUAAACAAAAGCAUUAAGCCCUGUUUCAUUGACAAAACAUGAAUUAGUCUCUACUAAGAACCUGUAACACAGCUUUCAAUAUGAGAAGACAUUUGGAAAUAUGGCUGCUUUCAGUAAAACUGGUCUCUUCCUAGAUCUCUCCUAUGCAGAAAACCAACAAAGUGAUCAUAAGUUAUUGAAAACUGGAACUUUAUACUCCAAAACACUGUACAGAGCUAAAUGCACAACUUGCCUGGUCAAAUAACAUUAAAAAGUUCUUCAAGUUGAAAUUUUGAAUUCCAAAAAAGAUCUGAAUCUUUGCAUCCAACCUGAGCCAGGGUUUGAUUCCCUUCAAAUGACUCUGGUUCCAAAGUCUCCAGUAAAACUGGCAUGAAAAGUCAUUUCAUAACUAUAAAACUAUGAACAUGUCAAACUGUCUGCAGCCAUAGCGAAUGUUCAGUUCAGUAAGUAGAUUCUUGACUUCUGAGGAGGCAGAGGUUUUACAACUCUGACACUGAAAUUCUAAAAACUGGAAUAUACAAGUCUGAACAAGCUCUCAGCAUGUCCAUUCACAGCUGCUGUUAUGCUCAGAAAACACUUCAGUAUGAAGCUGUAUUUGAGCAGAGGAAAACUCAGUAAAAUCUUCCAAAGUAUUGUAAAAACAGCUUCUGCUGCAGUUGAAAAACCUUUUAUUGUUGCCUUCAAAGUAUCAAUGUGCUGUCGGCUGUCUCUGCCAUACAAAUGUUUUAAAAGUAUUCACCCUUGUUUUGUGAAGCUGCUGCUUUGAAAAGAUGUUGCGUAAUAAACAAAUCUGAAUAGCUUUCUCUGUACCAGUCUGUCAAAUUGUUGCUGAUCAACAAUUAUUCGAGUUACAGAAUGAG